GCCGAAGUGGCGGAAUGGUAGACGCGGCGGUCUCAAACACCGUUGGGCAUAACGCCCGUGGGAGUUCGACUCUCCCCUUCGGCACCA
This 87-nucleotide transfer RNA is filed under the name Chloroflexota bacterium. RNAcentral describes it as "Chloroflexi bacterium tRNA-Leu". It matches the Rfam family "tRNA". From Rfam's summary of the family: Transfer RNA (tRNA) molecules are approximately 80 nucleotides in length. Their secondary structure includes four short double-helical elements and three loops (D, anti-codon, and T loops). The record is from RNAcentral. Lineage: Bacteria; Bacillati; Chloroflexota. RNAcentral also lists the same sequence under 2 other names.